AUCCUGGCUCAGAUUGAACGCUGGCGGCAUGCCUUACACAUGCAAGUCGAACGGUAACAGGCCGCAAGGUGCUGACGAGUGGCGAACGGGUGAGUAAUACAUCGGAACGUGCCGAGAGUGGGGAUAACGGAGCGAAAGCUUUGCUAAUACCGCAUACGAUCUACGGAUGAAAGCAGGGGGACCGCAAGGCCUUGCGCUCAUGGAGCGGCCGAUGGCAGAUUAGGUAGUUGGUGGGAUAAAAGCUUACCAAGCCGACGAUCUGUAGCUGGUCUGAGAGGACGACCAGCCACACUGGGACUGAGACACGGCCCAGACUCCUACGGGAGGCAGCAGUGGGGAAUUUUGGACAAUGGGCGAAAGCCUGAUCCAGCCAUGCCGCGUGCAGGAUGAAGGCCUUCGGGUUGUAAACUGCUUUUGUACGGAACGAAAAGACUCUGGUUAAUACCUGGGGUCCAUGACGGUACCGUAAGAAUAAGCACCGGCUAACUACGUG
This 493-nucleotide ribosomal RNA is filed under the name uncultured bacterium. RNAcentral describes it as "bacterial SSU rRNA". It matches the Rfam family "Bacterial small subunit ribosomal RNA", at positions 16 to 507 of the family's 1533-position model. The record is from RNAcentral.